RNAcentral lists this ribosomal RNA (253 nucleotides) under uncultured bacterium. RNAcentral's name for it is "partial 16S ribosomal RNA". It matches the Rfam family "Bacterial small subunit ribosomal RNA", at positions 524 to 776 of the family's 1533-position model. The record is from RNAcentral.
UACGUAGGGCGCAAGCGUUAUCCGGAAUUAUUGGGCGUAAAGAGCUCGUAGGCGGUUUGUCGCGUCUGCCGUGAAAGUCCGGGGCUCAACUCCGGAUCUGCGGUGGAUACGGGCAGACUAGAGGUAGGUAGGGGAGAAUGGAAUUCCUGGUGUAGCGGUGAAAUGCGCAGAUAUCAGGAGGAACACCGGUGGCGAAGGCGGUUCUCUGGGCCUUACCUGACACUGAGGAGCGAAAGCGUGGGGAGCGAACAGG